RNAcentral lists this ribosomal RNA (301 nucleotides) under uncultured bacterium. RNAcentral's name for it is "partial 16S ribosomal RNA". It matches the Rfam family "Bacterial small subunit ribosomal RNA", at positions 509 to 807 of the family's 1533-position model. The record is from RNAcentral.
CAGUCGCCGCGGUAAUACGAAGGGUGCAAGCGUUACUCGGAAUUACUGGGCGUAAAGCGUGUGUAGGUGGUUGUUUAAGUCUGUCGUGAAAGCCCUGGGCUCAACCUGGGAAUUGCGAUGGAUACUGGGCGACUAGAGUGCGGUAGAGGAUAGUGGAAUUUCCGGUGUAGCGGUGAAAUGCGUAGAGAUCGGGAGGAACAUCAGUGGCGAAGGCGGCCAUCUGGGACAACACUGACGCUGAGGCACGAAAGCGUGGGGAGCAAACAGGAUUAGAUACCCGCGUAGUCCCUGUCUCUUAUAC